Molecule: microRNA precursor, 204 nt
Organism: Oryza sativa Indica Group (long-grained rice)
Lineage: Eukaryota; Viridiplantae; Streptophyta; Magnoliopsida; Poales; Poaceae
Rfam family: MIR812 microRNA precursor family
Source: Rfam
AAAAAGACAAACUCUGGUUUCCGUGCCCAACGUUUAACCGUCCGUCUUAUUUAAAAAAAUUAUGAAAAAAAUUAAAAAGACAAGUCACGCAUAAAAUAUUAAUCAUGUUUUAUCAUCUAACAAUAAUGAAAAUACAAAUUAUAAAAAAAACCAUAUAAGUCGGACAGUUAAAAUUGGACAAAAAAACCCAGUGUUUGCCUUUUU